UCCCAGCUAGCUCAGCUGGUAAAGUAGCCGCCUGCAGUGCAGGAUACCCUGGUUCAAUCCCUGGGUGGGGAA
This 72-nucleotide transfer RNA is filed under the name Bos taurus (domestic cattle). It matches the Rfam family "tRNA". From Rfam's summary of the family: Transfer RNA (tRNA) molecules are approximately 80 nucleotides in length. Their secondary structure includes four short double-helical elements and three loops (D, anti-codon, and T loops). RNAcentral also lists the same sequence under 4 other names. Lineage: Eukaryota; Metazoa; Chordata; Mammalia; Artiodactyla; Bovidae. The record is from Rfam by way of RNAcentral.